GUGCUCAAGUGUGGAACAGCUGACAUCUGAGAUAUCGGAGGAAAUCUUUGAGGUUCAGCUCAGUGAAAAAGGGCAGCACAAGGUGACAUGAAGAAACCAGAGCAGUGGGAUUCUGGAGAGACUAUCUUCUUGAGACAAAGGAACGACAAGCAGGGCUCUCUCUCCAGGACAUCCUGAUGUUUGCCAAAGGUUUGAAGACACUGCCUGCGUCCGUUCGCAAUCAAAAUACCGAUGUCCAAAACUCAGUUUAAUGGGACUUAAUGCGGCAGUUGGUCGGUGUUCGUGUCAGUUAAACGACCACUGAGCCCAAAGGUUUUUGUCUGAUUGCCUCCAGAGAUCCACUCUAACACCAGCACGAGUGUACCUCCAAGCUGGUGUCGUUAUUUUUCUGCUGGAGUGAAAAUUGUGGACAGGAGCACAAGUUGAGUUUUUCAAAAUUUUUUGGAGCUCCUCCCCACUCUUUCAUUCGGCUCCUCCAUUCUUGCUGUCUAGCUUUUAACUGAAUAAUGAAAAAAGUUGUUAAUUUGACUUUAAAAUUACAAUAUGUAACUUUUGUUUGUACAUAAAAUUAAUAAAUUGUGACACACUA
Acanthopagrus latus (yellowfin seabream) is the source of this 589-nucleotide long non-coding RNA. RefSeq lists it as uncharacterized. The transcript has 2 exons. NCBI's taxonomy places the organism in Eukaryota, Metazoa, Chordata, Actinopteri, Spariformes, Sparidae. The record is from RefSeq and is a predicted model, not a curated record.